Alligator mississippiensis (American alligator) is the source of this 3748-nucleotide long non-coding RNA. RefSeq lists it as uncharacterized. The transcript is spliced from 2 exons. Lineage: Eukaryota; Metazoa; Chordata; Crocodylia; Alligatoridae. The record is from RefSeq and is a predicted model, not a curated record.
GCAGCAAUGUGGGGGUCAAUUUGAUACUUGCAUGAGUGUAGGAAGAGGGGUUCGGCCAGGGCCGCCCACAGCCAGUGCCCUGGGCCCGGCUGGCAGAUGUGUGGCUCCCCUGGGGCCUGGGCAGGGUCAGCACCAGUGUGGGCUGCUGGGCACCGGGGCAGAGGCAGGGGCAGGGGUGGCAUGGGGAAGCAGGGUUGUCAGGGUUGUCACCUGCUGUGUGUUGGCCCUGUGUUGAGCAUGUGGCUCUCGGGCAGGGGAGGCACUGGACGGGGCUGUGAGGGUGGGGAUGAGACCUUAGGAUGGCCACCACAUGCUGGCUGCUGCCUCUGGCCUCCGAAUGGCCGCCAAGUGCUGCGAAGCAGGUGGCUGGACUUACUGCACAGUAAAUUUAAGCCAGCGUAAAUGCACGUGUAGACGUGCCCAUAAAUGUAUGUGUUCAUACGUAAAGCUAGGAUAAGGGGAAAGAAUGGGCUAAAGAGACAGUGAAGGCAGGCCUAUACAUCAAAUAAAUACCAGAGGCAGGCAAAGACUAACAGGCUACAACCAACAACCCUGCAAGUAAGUACCGGGACUUCUAGCAUCCUGCCCCCAGACAAGCAUGACUCUGGGCAGGGGCAGGUGAACAAGCGCGUGUCUGCUUGUGAAGGGGUGGGGGAGCCCUGAAGACAGGCACUGGCCAGGCAGCUGUGGAGCUCCAAGGGAACAGCUGGGUAGCUUUGGGGCACUGAGGGCUGUGCAGAUUGGAUUGGGGACAGAAGGAUUGCUUAAUAUUUUGGACAUCUAGCCCUACAGCCCAGCAUCAUUGCCUAGUACGUAGUGCAGAGUUACCUCGGGAGAAGUCAGAAGUAAAACUCCUGUUUAAGUUACACUGAUGUAGGUGUUGUGUGUUCACUUCUGUGCCCGGCUGGCCCUUUUCUCAAUGAAACAGGCUAGUACCAACUUCCCCACCUGUGAUGACGUCGUGCAGCUGUCGCAGGGUGGGGUCCCUAGGGGUGGCCGUGUUACCCCUAGGCUCCUUACCUGUGCCAGUCUUGCCCUACAAGCACCCUCCGUCUCGCCCGCCACAUCUUGUUGGUGUGGUUAAUACAGGGAGGCUGCCCUCGGUCUUUAGGCUUGGACAUGGUCUGGCUAGAUCCUAUUAAACCCUGCUGUUCAUCGACCCCUUGGCGUUCUGCUUCACUGUGGACGGUUCCCGAGUCUCUCAGCCUUAUGGGCUGUAUGCGUGGCACCGGCCACCCCUUUACCAUGCCCCAAGCCUCGCAGACGGCAUUGACGUUGUCCUAUCUAGGCCUUGCUGUGAUUUGCCCCCCUUGUCCUCUCCGGGCUCUCCGCAGCCCUGUCUCUGCGCCCACGCUGGCGCUGGGGUCCCCACACUGCAGUGGGCCCCCAAUGAGGCCUCCUCCUUCCCCAAAUAGCCUCACCCAAACCUCCGGUGUUAUCAGACAGCAAACGAACAAGAGUGAUCGAACGUGAGCCCCUGGGCUAUAACAUAACUCAACGCUCAAGGCAUGCUCUGCCCCUUUCACAGAGGCAAACUCCCGCUCUGAGGCUCGGUGCCUAGCUGGCAAGGAUGGACACCUUAUGGGCUCCUGGGGUCCCCUUUGUUCGAAGGGGAGCGGAUCUGCCGGCUGCAACACUUCUGGGCCCUUCCUUCCUGGAGGCCCCUUCCCCUUCAGCUGGUGGUAGGGCACUAAGUGCCUGGGCCCAGCCCUAGGGUGUACAUGGGCCUAGGGCCCUGCCUCCUCCGGCCAGCUGACCAGGUGCAGGUGCGGCCAGUUCCCUCGUUAACCGGUUGUCACAGCAACCCGCGCCUGGGCUCUUAUCUGGCUCUUUGUGCUGGUCCCCGGGCAAUCUCUGCUCUGAGAGGAGCAGGCGCCUUAGUGCCCUGCGACAGCAAUAGUAUGGCCUGCGCAGAGUGGUCGGUAUUUGCUUGGGAUUGGGAACUGGCUGAUUCGGAGGGACAGCGAUUCGAUUCGGAGAUUCGAAUCCCUGUCACGAUUCGAUUCAGCUGAAUUGGAUCUGAAGAUGUGGCACUGCUGCAGAGAUUCAGCCAUUCAGCCACUUUCCUGCCAUGGCAGGGGGUCGCACUUGAGGAUCUGCUCAGAUCCCUUCCGACCCUCCCAACUAUGAAACUAUGACACUAAAAAGGCAGCAGUCGUCAGCAUGCCAGACACCAUUGCCUGCAGCUGGUAAAUGUGUUGUGGUGGGUGGAGGUGGGAGGGAAGGGGCAUGGGGGUUGCAGAUCGACACCCCCGCAGCGAGGGACAAGCUGCCCAGCCGGGGCUUGGGGGCGCAGGACUUGGGCAGGGGAGUGUGGGAUGUAGGCACAGCAGUGCUGGGAGCAGGGGAGAUGCCCUGUUGCCGCUUGUCCAGGUGUGUGUGGGGGCAUAAUGCAGGUGUGCCUGGCUCCAGGCAAAAGGGGGCAAGGGGAAGCAGGGCACAGACCCCAUUCCUAGCAUGGCCACAGCUGCAUCCCGUGGCCUCCUGCCCCAGCUGGGUAAGAGAAAGCAGGGCAUAACCUGCCACUUGCCCAGCCAGGGAAGGGGGCGCAGGAUAUGGGCGCUGCCGCCGCUUGCCCAGCCAGGGCAGGGGGUGGCACAGGAUGUGGGCGCAGCAGAGCUGGGAGUGAGGGCUGUGCCACGCUGCCGCUUGCCCCCUUGCACCUGGAGUGAGCCACGCCUGCAUCAGGCUAGCAGGUGCUGCCUGUUUGUCUGUGGCCACAUCUCCGUAUUCAGAGGCUUCUGAUUAAAUUCGGACCUUUGAAUUGGUCUGCCAAUUGGAUUCAGAUGAAGAGAUUUCAUUGCCGAAUCAGGAUGCAUGUCCUCCAAAUCGAAUCGGCUACCAAAGCUUUGCACAGCCCUGGUAGUCGUGCCUCCCGCAGCAGGUCCCCUGGGAGAGGGGGCCAUCUGUCUGCUCUGAAUAUCAGUGAAACUUAGAUCAGUGUAAGAGACAGUUGUAAAUGAAAUCAGUAUUAUUCUGUCGUGGGCCCAGCCUCUCAGCGCACGUCCAGGCAAGCCCCCACGUGCCUCUUGCAGCACGCCUCUCAAAGCAGCUGGAGACGCAGCAAGAGGCAGGACCAUUCCUGGAGGCAGCCGGAGGUUGGGUCCUCCAUAGAGACUCUCUGAUAGCCGGGCAGAGCAGCUCUCUCCCUGCUCCUUGCCCCGCUGCUGCAGUGCGCUGCCUGCUGCGGGCGAGCAGCGAUGCAGGCUGCAGCAACCGUGCCCCGGGCUCCAGUCCAGCUGCCAGAACCCGUUGGGAUAGGAAAUGGCAGCAGGGCCAGAUCCACAGUGAUGCCCACAACAAAGAUGCUUCGUCACCGCAACCAUCCCUUGACACAUCCUCAUCGAGGGACGAGCUAGGACUCCCCACCUUGCUGUGUGACUCGCCCCUCCGCUGAUCUUGCCUCAGACUUGAGGUUUCUCCUAGGCGCUUCGAGAGCUGUUCCCAUGGUCUCCUUCCUCCCAUCUGUAAUGCAAAAGCAAACGGAGUGGAGCCUGGCCUCUUCUUCCUGGGGCUGGAAUUGAACCCAAAUGCUCCCGGCCACCAGAAGAGCAGAGACGUCUGAAAAAGUGUAACACAAACUGCAGUCCAUUCUCACGUGGGCUUGUGGUGUCGACACCUCCAUGGAGCAGUGCUCUGGCUCCACGGCAGGCCUCGUUGGCAUGAAUACUCACAGCGAUCCCUUGAAUGGCGACUUUCUACCAGUCCUUGUGUACAAUACUGUAUUUAUAAAGAUUCAUGUAGAGUG